GAGACGCUUUCACCAUGGUGAUGCGUUCACGUUGAUGGCUUAUCCCACUCAAACUAAACAGCGGGGGCAUAUAUCAAGUGUUUACAUUAUUACAAGGAUGAAAUGUAGACUUUGUCCAACUAUAAAGAAUCAAAUGGCCCAGUGUCCAGUAUCACGGUCAACAGGUUUGACAGCAGGUCGUGAUGCAGGUCGGAGGUUUGCUGGCAUCAGCCAGGCAUGGUGGGAGCUUCCUUCACCACUGCCAUUAAUCAGCUUUACCUUUCAGGUUCAGCUAGACCACAAUGGCUGAAGACAAGGCUUUCUCAUCAUGGGGGACUGCUGCUCAACUGUGGGGCUUUCAUGAGACCUCUGGAGAGGAGGAGGAAAUGGGAGAAGGGAACGAACCAGCGCUGAAAGAAAAGUUUCCUUCAAAAGUAGGAAAGGAGAAGAAUGGAAUAGAAAAUAAGCUUUUGUACUUAAGGGGGAUGCCUGAACAGGGGGCUGUUGAUCUUCACUGAGUGGACAAAACAUUUGGAACACCUUCCUAAUAUUGAGUUGCACCCCUUUUUCAGUCGGAAUAGCCUCAAUUCAUCGGGGCACGGACUCUACAAGGUGUCAAGCGUUCCACAGGGAUGCUGGCCUAUGUUGACUCCAAUGCUUCCCACAGUUGUGUCAAGUUGGCUGGAUGUCGUUUGGGUGGUCAACCAUUCUUGAUACACACGGGAAACUGUUGACCGUGAAAACCACAGCAGCGUUGCAGUUCUUGACGCACUCAAACCGGUGCGCCUGGGACCUACUCGCAUACCACGUUCAAAGGCACUUAAAUCUGUUAUUUUGCCCAUUCACCCUCUGAAGGGCACACGUACAAAAUACAUGUCUCAUUUGUCCCAAGGCUUGAAAAUACUUCUUUAACCUGACUCCUCCCCACAUGCACAAGUACAGUGAAAUGCCUUUCUUGCAGCUCUAACCCCAACAAUGCAGGAAUCAAUAACAAUGUAAUACUAAAAAAAAAACAUACGGUAGGAAAAAACACACACACUAAAUAGAAAUAAGAAGAUGAGAAAGUAAGAAGCUAUAUACAGGGUCAGUAGUGAAAUACAGGGUCAGUUCCAGGGUCAGUAGUGAAAUACAGGGUCAGUAGUGAAAUACAGGGUCAGUUCCAGGUUCAGUAGCGAAAUACAGUGUCAGUUCCAGGUUCAGUUCCAAUACCAUAUUUACAAUAUGCAGGGUUACUGGAGUGAUAGAGGUACAGUGCCUUUAGAACGUUUUUAUACCCUUUGAUUUAUUCAACAUUUUGUUGUGUUACAGCCUGAAUUCACAAUACCCCAUAAUGACAAAGUGAAAACAUUUUUUUGAAACGUUUGCCAAUUUAUUGAAAAUGAAAUACAGAAAUAUCUAAUUUACAUAAGUAUUCACACCCCUGAAUCAAUACAUGUUAGAAGCACCUUGGCAGCCAUUACAGCUUUGAGUAUUUCUGGAUAAAUCGCUAAGAGUUCUGGAUUGUACAAUUUGCACAUUAUUCUUUUUUUUUAAAUUCUACUAGUUCUUUGAAGUUGGUUGUUGAUCAUUGUUAGACAGUCAUUUUCAAGUCUUGCUAGAUUUCAAAGAAGAUUUAAGUCAAAACUGUAACUCGGCCACUCAGGAAGAUUAAAUGAUGUCUUGGUAAACAACUCCAGUGUAUAAUUUGGCCUUGUGUUUUAGGUUAUUUUCCUGCUGAAAGGUUCAUUUGUCUCCAGUGGCAGUUUGAAAGCAGACAGAACCAGGUUUCCCUCUUAAGAUUGUGCAUGUGCUUAGCUCUAGUCCGAUAAUUUUUUUAUCAAAAAAACUCCCUAGUUCUUGCCAAUCUGCGCACGGGGCCGUGAACUUCCUACAGGACUGGCGCGCAGAAGAAAUGCUGUCAAAUCAAAUCAAAUGUAUUUAUAUAGCCCUUCGUACAUCAGCUGAUAUCUCAAAGUGCUGUACAGAAACCUAGCCUAAAACCCCAAACAGCAAGCAAUGCAGCACGGUGGCAAGGAAAAACUCCCUAGAAAGGCCAAAACCUAGGAAGAAACCUAGAGAGGAACCAGGCUAUGAGGGGUGACCAGUCCUCUUCUGGCUGUGCCAGGUGGAGAUUAUAACAGAACAUGGCCAAGAUGUUCAAAUGUUCAUAAAUGACCAGAAUGGUUAAAUAAUAAUAAUCACAGUAGUUGUCGAGGGUGCAGCAAGUCAGCACCUCAGGAGUAAAUGUCAGUUGCCUUUUCAUAGCCGAUCAUUAAGAGUAUCUCUACCGCUCCUGCUGUCUCUAGAGAGUUGAAAACAGGAUGUCUGGGACAGGUAGCACGUCCGGUGAACAGGUCAGAAUUCCAUAGCCGCAGGCAGAACAGUUGAAACUGGAGCAGCAGCACGGCCAGGUGGACUGGGGACAGCAAGGAGUCAUGCCGGGUAGUCCUGAGGCAUGGUCCAAGGGCUCAGGUCCUCCGAGAUAAAGAGAGAAUUCGAGAGAGCAUACUUAAAUUCACACAGGACACCGGAUAAGACAGGAGAAGUACUCCAGAUAUAACAAACUGACCCUAGCCCCCCAACACAUAAACUACUGCAGCAUAAAUACUGGAGGCUAAGACAGGUGGGGUCAGGAGACACUGUGGCCCCAUCCGAUGAUACCCCCAGACAGGGCCAAACAGGAAGGAUAUAACCCCACCCACUUUGCCAAAGCACAGCCCCCACACCACUAGAGGGAUAUCUUCAAACACCAACUUACCAUCCUGUGACAAGGCCGAGUAUAGCCCACAAAGAUCUUCGCCACAGCACAAUCCAAGGGGGGGCGCCAACCCAGACAGGAAGACCACGUCAGCAACUCAACCCACUCAAGUGACGCACCAUCCUAGGGACGGCAUGGAAGAGCACCAGUAAGCCAGUGACUCAGCAGGCAGAUUUACUUUAGUGCCUUGUUGCAAACAGAUUGCAUGUUUUGGAAUAUAUAUAUAUAUUCUGUACAGGCUUCCUUCUUUUCACUCUGUCAUUUAGGUUAGUAUUGUGAGUAACUACAAUGUUGUUGAUCCAUCCUCAGUUUUCUCCUAUCACAGCCAUUAAACUCUAACUGUUUUA
Oncorhynchus keta (chum salmon) is the source of this 3063-nucleotide long non-coding RNA. RefSeq lists it as uncharacterized. Lineage: Eukaryota; Metazoa; Chordata; Actinopteri; Salmoniformes; Salmonidae. The record is from RefSeq and is a predicted model, not a curated record. The transcript is spliced from 3 exons.